ACACUGGUGGUUCAGUGGUACAAUUCUCACCUUCCAUGCGAAAGAUCUAGGUUCAGUUCCUGGCCGAUGCU
Molecule: transfer RNA, 71 nt
Filed under: Loxodonta africana (African savanna elephant)
Lineage: Eukaryota; Metazoa; Chordata; Mammalia; Proboscidea; Elephantidae
Rfam family: tRNA
About the family: Transfer RNA (tRNA) molecules are approximately 80 nucleotides in length. Their secondary structure includes four short double-helical elements and three loops (D, anti-codon, and T loops).
Source: Rfam by way of RNAcentral